This is a non-coding RNA of Citrus sinensis (sweet orange), 102 nucleotides long. NCBI's taxonomy places the organism in Eukaryota, Viridiplantae, Streptophyta, Magnoliopsida, Sapindales, Rutaceae. The record is from Rfam.
GGACGGUGAAGAUUCCGCAGUGAAAGGUCUCGUUCGUCGUAACUGGCUAAGGAAUUAGCCUUGCCGACCAUCCUGUUAUAUCACCACCCAUAUUCUGAGUCC